UGGUUUGGUAUUUCCCAAAGUUUGAAGGCU
Molecule: non-coding RNA, 30 nt
Filed under: Mus musculus (house mouse)
Lineage: Eukaryota; Metazoa; Chordata; Mammalia; Rodentia; Muridae
Source: RNAcentral